UACGAAGGGGGCUAGCGUUGUUCGGAUUUACUGGGCGUAAAGGGCGCGUAGGCGGCCAGCGCAAGUCAGUUGUGAAAUCUCCGGGCUUAACUCGGAACGGUCAACUGAUACUGCGCGGCUAGAGUACAGAAGGGGCAACUGGAAUUCUCGGUGUAGCGGUGAAAUGCGUAGAUAUCGAGAGGAACACCUGCGGCGAAGCGGGUUGCUGGGCUGAUACUGACGCUGAGGCGCGAAAGCUAGGGGAGCGAACGGG
Molecule: ribosomal RNA, 253 nt
Filed under: uncultured bacterium
Lineage: Bacteria
Description: partial 16S ribosomal RNA
Rfam family: Bacterial small subunit ribosomal RNA
Source: RNAcentral